AAGAAAUAUAUUAUUAUGAUGAUAAAAAAAAUUAUUCAUAUUAGAGCAUCUUCAAUGGUUAAGAACCAAUUGGUUCUUAAUCUUGAAUCUUAGCCUUAUUUUAAAUUAAAAUUUCACUGUUUUGGAGCUAAGAAAAGUUAGAGAAGAUCUUAACAAAUUACUACUCAGAACAUCAUUAUUGGUUGUUUUUUAGAUUAGUUCUUAAGAUUUUUUUUUGUCAUUGAUUACUAAAAACAUCUCAUUUUAACUCUUAUAUAAGAGACAUGUUAUCAUUUCGUCUCUUAUAUAAGAGUUAAAAUGAGAUGUUCUUAUCCUAAGAACUAAUCUAAGAGACAACCAAUAAUGAUGCUCUCAAAUGAUUAAGAAUCAAUGAGUUCUUAAGAAGAAAAAAAAUCAAAUUGUUGCAAAACAUUGUUUUGGUUUUGUUUUUUCUUUCUCUCAUUCACAUAUCGACACAUGUGCCCUUCUUACCUUAAGAAAAACAUCUUAGUUAAGAUACAUAUCUUAGUUGGUUUGAUUAAUUAUAAUUGCUUUUAAUGCUAAGAUGUUUGCUAAGAUUUGGCUAAGAUAUACCGCUGGGGAUGCUCUUAACUCUCUACAUAUAGUUCUUCAGACAAUGCUACUGAGCUAAUGAUGGCGUAAUAACUAUUUUGAGCGGAGUAAACAUGCUCAAGUACACGGGACGAGACCCUUAAUCUUUCCCAACCAUCCUGUGAUGUAAUACUCAUUUAAAUUACCCCAAGUUUAGUAGAGUAACAUUGAGACUUAGCUUCCACACUGACAUUAUCUCUCCCUUCCAAAUCAGAGAACUCAUGUAGAAAGUUCUAUAGAAUUUUCGAAUAUUAUGAAUAGUUAUAUUUAUAUUAUAUAUGUUAUACCUUACGAAACAUUGUAUUCUUCUAGGGUCAUCUUUACUUUUAUGUUUUCUGAUUCAAUGAUUUGUGAAAUAUAUUCGCGAAUACUUAUGACUAAAGUUAACAAAUGACUUAAAUUUGAAAAUAGAAUUUUUAACUGCCUUUUUAUUUGUUAUUUUUGUUUAUAUUUUGCUUAGACUUUGCUUAUUCUAUGCUUAGUUUUGUCAAAUUUUUAUAAACCCUACAUAGUUAUCCUAUUAACAUCUUUUACAACUAUAGAACAUAAAUCGAAGAGAUUAGAUAUAGGGAUCCAUAGUUAUGUCUUUUACAAAUAAUUGUGUCUAUUUAAACGUUCAUGUCUUUUUAAUUCUAUAUAUAGAUGUUUAUGUCUUUUUACCUCUAUUUAAACGUUCAUGUCUAUAACAAACAAUUGUGUCUAUGUGAUGAAAAGAUAAGAAGAAAAGACACAAUUCUAAAUGACCAUAUGCAACUUUCUAAAAAGACAUAACCGUAAAAAGUAUUUUUCAAAUUAUUUAAAGUUAAAAACUUAUGUUACUAAUAGUUAAGAUAAAAAUACGCAAACUAUCUUCCUGACGAGAUGACCAUUAAAUCUAUUGAGAUCUCACAAGCGUCACGUCUUAUGAACGAGGGAAAGUUUCUAUCCCGUCUUAAAACCCCUUUUGUUGUGUCUCUCUACGGCCACAAGGUACCACAUAGAGAAGGACGAGAAAAAUCCAUUACUCGGGAAGAUGUAUUACAACACGUUACAAGAGUACUGUUCAGGAAGAAACCUAGCGAAACACAUUGAAAGAAACGGAGGAAAAUUACCGAAAGAUGAUGUGAGGAGUUUCGCUAAUGAGAUAUUGCUUGGUCUCAAGUAUAUUCAUGAAGAGAAGAUCAUUCAUUGUGACAUCAAACCAAAGAAUAUCUCACUUGUGUAUGAGAAUAACCGAUUUGGUAGUGUUGGUGGGUUUUCUGCUAAGAUCGCUGGUUUUGGAAAAGAGAUAAAGAAAUGGUCAGUUGAGUAUGGUGAAGGAUUAGGUCACAUGAGAGGUACGACAUGACUUUUGUCGCCAGAGGUUAUGAUGGGCAUGGUUUUGGAUUAUGGUGCUGAUGUGUGGGCUUUUGGCUGUACCGUGCUUGAGAUGUUGACAGGAGAACGAGUUUGGAGUGAGUUUGGUAAGCUUGAUUGGGAAGGUUGGAAAACUCUCAUUGGUGAAAGUGGUAUUUUUCCCAAUAUCCCUGAUUAUUUGUCUGAUAAGGCAAAGGAUUUCUCACAAAGUGUUUGGAGAGAGACCCUGCUAAGAGGUGGUGUGUUGAUUGUUUGCUCAAACAUGGGUUCCUUAAAUGGAUUGACGAAGAGGAGGAAGAAGAUGACUUUUAUGAUGAAAUAGGAGAUGUGGAGGUAGAAUAUGAAGCAAAUCUAUAAGCUGAAGCAACAUUUGAGGAAGAAGAAGCCAUUGAUCGAGAUGAAGAAUAUCCUAAAGAAGAUCCGGAAGAUAUCCAUGUUAGUUUUCACACUUUUUUGUAUCUUGUUAUUUUUCUUUUUUAUGACAAUCUGAAAAUUAAGUCUCAAAAAAGAAAAAAAAAUAGCAAACAUCCAGCUUCCAAUUAGUAAUAUGGUACAUCGCAGGUUAAAUAUUUUA
RNAcentral lists this small RNA (2500 nucleotides) under Arabidopsis thaliana (thale cress). RNAcentral describes it as "ATSL104670". Lineage: Eukaryota; Viridiplantae; Streptophyta; Magnoliopsida; Brassicales; Brassicaceae. The record is from RNAcentral.